UACGAACUGUGCAAACGUUAUUCGGAUUCACUGGGCUUAAAGGGUGCGUAGGCGGCCAUGUAAGUAGGGUGUGAAAUCCCCCGGCUUAACCGGGGAACUGCGCCCUAAACUGUAUGGCUGGAGUGAGAUAGGGGUGUGCGGAACUUCCGGUGGAGCGGUGAAAUGUGUUGAUAUCGGAAGGAACGCCGGUGGCGAAAGCGGCACACUGGGUCUCAACUGACGCUGAGGCACGAAAGCCAGGGGAGCGAACGGG
RNAcentral lists this ribosomal RNA (253 nucleotides) under uncultured bacterium. Its description in RNAcentral is "partial 16S ribosomal RNA". It matches the Rfam family "Bacterial small subunit ribosomal RNA", at positions 524 to 776 of the family's 1533-position model. The record is from RNAcentral.